CCCGACUCUACACAAACACCAAUUAUAACAUGAUGUAGACAACUGAAAAACAAGCAAAUGUAUCCUUAAAAUGCUAAAAUAAAGUACAUUUAUACAAGUACAAAGCAAAACAGAGCUGAUAAAAAUGUUAAAUUUUAUGAAAAAACUCAUUUGCAAUUCACAUCGAAAGAACUGUACAUUCGCUAUUGUCUUAAUAGUAUAUAAGCAGCAACAACAUAAAAAGAACAUACGGCCACACAAUGUCCAAAACCAAAUCCAUUAUAAGUUAUUAGCCCCAAAAUAAUUAUAUUAAUUACAAGCACUUAUAGCCCACACAAAUCUUUGAGAAUUGGCACCAUCUGUCUAAAACAUCUAUAUUCUCUAUAGAUUUCUAAUUACAAACACACUAGCAGCUGCCAUGGAAUCCAAGAAGUACAUAGAAUAUACAUAGUAUAUUUGUUCACAUUUGCCAGAUCAGUGAAAUUCAGCCACUCCACAAUGUGCCUGCUGUCUCCUCCUCCAGGAAAGAGAAAUCACUCCCAGGCACCAUUUCAUCACCAAAGCGAGUACUGAUUCAUCUUAAGCUUUCAUUGAUCUGGAUUUUUUUUUUUUUUUUCACAGUAUAAAAUUAUAAAUGGCAACCACAGAGAUUUUGACAGCUUGAGUGUUAUUAAGAAUUUGCUGCUCAUAGUGAACUCUGAUGACACCAUUUAAGCCUCCAGUAUAUGUAGGCUAUGUUGGGAGACUAGCACAGAAGUUUCUUUUGUUCUGGAAAAGCAUGUUUUCAUUUCUAGUUUUGAAUCAAGUUGUAAAACUGCCACACAACCAUUAUCUGACUCAUUUGUGGACUUUAAAUUACCUGUUUUUCUCAAAAUGAGGAAAAUUGUUAGUAAGAGGAGUAGCUUGGGGAAAACUAGGAUGAUCAAGGAUUCUAACUUUUUUUUUCUUGUACUUGUUUCAGGGAAAUUAAAAAAAAAAUCUUUUGGAGGCAAGAGGGAUCACAUAGCUAGUAAGUGUCUGACAGCAGAUUUAAACUCAGGACCACUUGACUCCAACAUCAGUGCUCCACCCACUGCUCCACCUAGUUGCCCCAUUUUAAGGAAAUCAUACUAGGGUUUUCUCAUACAUCCUUAUCUUAUGUAAAAUUGGCAACAUUUUAAACAUUGAUCUCACAAUGUACUCCUCUCCUGGAAUAUAACUCCUUCUCACUAACCAUUUUAUCCCAUUUCUUCAUUAUGGGACCAAGCUCUUCUUUUCAAUGACUUUUUUUUUUUUAUUAUUUUUUUUUAUUUUUAGAGAAUAAUGACAAUACAUAGUCCUUGAACUUUUUACAAUGUAUAGUACUGUUGGUCCUAACUAGAACACUAUUACACACUUAAGAUAAUGUUUUUAUCUGGGAAACUAAAUGAUUCUAAUAAGGUCAAGUAACCAGGAUACUCCCAUCUACAAAUGUGACUCACAUUCCAGUCCUAAUAAAGAUUCUGAGUCUACCAAGCAUUUUAUAUUUAUUACCUUGACUUCAGCAUCUAACCUUGAAGAAAUUUAUUCUUUAUCACAGAAGGAAUAAUUUACUAAUUUAUCAUGUGAAGAAUCAUAGUUAUUCUAUUAGAUAUAGAAGUUGUCAAAACAAACAUCCAGAUUCAAAGAGCAGGCCAUCUUGCUUUGCACUCACUGGAAAACAUAUAUUCAGCUUUAUAGUUACUUGAAAAUGGGAUUCAUUAUGGAAGUUUGAUUU
This 1714-nucleotide long non-coding RNA is filed under the name Sarcophilus harrisii (Tasmanian devil). Its description in RNAcentral is "lncRNA (ENSSHAG00000024264.1)". The record is from RNAcentral. Lineage: Eukaryota; Metazoa; Chordata; Mammalia; Dasyuromorphia; Dasyuridae.